RNAcentral lists this ribosomal RNA (253 nucleotides) under uncultured bacterium. Its description in RNAcentral is "partial 16S ribosomal RNA". It matches the Rfam family "Bacterial small subunit ribosomal RNA", at positions 524 to 776 of the family's 1533-position model. The record is from RNAcentral.
UACGGAGGGGGCAAGCGUUAUUCGGAAUUAUUGGGCGUAAAGGGCGCGUAGGCGGCUAGAUGUGUCAAAGGUGAAAUCCCUCGGCUCAACUGAGGAACUGCCUUUGAAACUGUCUGGCUUGAGGCCGGGAGAGGGUAGCGGAAUUCCCAGUGUAGCGGUGAAAUGCGUAGAUAUUGGGAGGAACACCAGUGGCGAAGGCGGCUACCUGGACCAGUUCUGACGCUGAGGCGCGAAAGCGUGGGUAGCAAACAGG